GACGAACGCUGGCGGCGUGCCUAAUACAUGCAAGUCGAACGAAGAUCUAGCUUGCUAGAUCUUAGUGGCGAACGGGUGAGUAAUACAUAAAUAAUCUGCCCAUAUGACUGGGAUAACUAUUAGAAACGAUAGCUAAUACCGGAUAGGUUGAUUGGAGGCAUCUCUGAUUAAUUAAAGUAGGAUUUCUACACAAAUGGAUGAGUUUAUGGCGCACUAGUUAGUUGGUGGGGUAACGGCCUACCAAGACGAUGAUGCGUAGCCGACCUGAGAGGGUGACCGGCCACACUGGGACUGAGACACGGCCCAGACUCCUACGGGAGGCAGCAGUAGGGAAUUUUCGGCAAUGGGCGCAAGCCUGACCGAGCAACGCCGCGUGAGUGAUUAAGGCCUUCGGGUUGUAAAGCUCUGUUGUAAGGGAAGAACAUUCAGGAUAGGAAAUGAUCUUGAACUGACGGUACCUUACCAGAAAGCCACGGCUAACUACGUGCCAGCAGCCGCCGUAA
This 503-nucleotide ribosomal RNA is filed under the name uncultured bacterium. RNAcentral's name for it is "partial 16S ribosomal RNA". It matches the Rfam family "Bacterial small subunit ribosomal RNA", at positions 28 to 523 of the family's 1533-position model. The record is from RNAcentral.